Small nucleolar RNA from Rhododendron vialii, 107 nucleotides. RefSeq annotates it as small nucleolar RNA snoR100. The transcript has a single exon. NCBI's taxonomy places the organism in Eukaryota, Viridiplantae, Streptophyta, Magnoliopsida, Ericales, Ericaceae. The record is from RefSeq and is a predicted model, not a curated record.
GAAUGAAGGAAGCAAGGUAACGAGCACAGAAAUUGAAUCGGUCUCUAGGCUUGCCCUCUCUAAUGCCUUCCGGCUUUGGUUUGAGAACAUGGUUCCACGGCAUAACA